Molecule: ribosomal RNA, 845 nt
Filed under: uncultured bacterium
Lineage: Bacteria
Description: bacterial SSU rRNA
Rfam family: Bacterial small subunit ribosomal RNA
Source: RNAcentral
AGAGUUUGAUCCUGGCUCAGGACGAACGCUGGCGGCGUGCCUAAUACAUGCAAGUCGAGCGAUGAUUAGAGAUAGCUUGCUAUCUUUAUGAAGAGCGGCGAACGGGUGAGUAACGCGUGGGAAAUCUGCCGAGUAGCGGGGGACAACGUUUGGAAACGAACGCUAAUACCGCAUAACAAUGAGGAUCGCAUGAUUCUUAUUUAAAAGAAGCAAUUGCUUCACUACUUGAUGAUCCCGCGUUGUAUUAGCUAGUUGGUAGUGUAAAGGACUACCAAGGCGAUGAUACAUAGCCGACCUGAGAGGGUGAUCGGCCACACUGGGACUGAGACACGGCCCAGACUCCUACGGGAGGCAGCAGUAGGGAAUCUUCGGCAAUGGGGGCAACCCUGACCGAGCAACGCCGCGUGAGUGAAGAAGGUUUUCGGAUCGUAAAACUCUGUUGUUAGAGAAGAACGUUAAGUAGAGUGGAAAGUUACUUAAGUGACGGUAUCUAACCAGAAAGGGACGGCUAACUACGUGCCAGCAGCCGCGGUAAUACGUAGGUCCCAAGCGUUGUCCGGAUUUAUUGGGCGUAAAGCGAGCGCAGGUGGUUUCUUAAGUCUGAUGUAAAAGGCAGUGGCUCAACCCAUUGUGUGCAUUGGAAACUGGGAGACUUGAGUGCAUGAGAGGAGAGUGGAAUUCCAUGGUGUAGCGGUGAAAUGCGUAGAUAUAUGGAGGAACACCGGAGGCGAAAGCGGCUCUCUGGGCCUGUAACUGACACUGAGCUCGAAAGGCGUGGGGGAGCAAACAGGAUUAGAUACCCUGGUAGUCCACGCCGUAAACGAUGAGUGCUAGCUUGUAGGGAG